Molecule: unclassified non-coding RNA, 253 nt
Filed under: Xylariales sp.
Lineage: Eukaryota; Fungi; Ascomycota; Sordariomycetes; Xylariales
Description: partial contains 5.8S ribosomal RNA, internal transcribed spacer 2, and large subunit ribosomal RNA
Source: RNAcentral
CGCACAUUGCGCCUAAUAGUAUUCUGUUAGGCAUGCCUGUUCGAGCGUCAUUUCAACCUUCAAGCCCUAUUUGCUUGACGUUGGGAGUUUACAGCUGCUGUAAUUCCUUAAAUUUAGUGGCGGAGCUAGGUCAUGCUCUGAGCGUAGUAAUUCUUUUUUCUCGCUCUUGAUGCUGCCCUGUAUCUUGCCGUAAAACCCCCUAAAUUUUAUUCUGGUUGACCUCGGAUCAGGUAGGAAUACCCGCUGAACUUAA